AGUGAACGCUGGCGGUAGGCCUAACACAUGCAAGUCGAACGGCAGCACAGAGGAGCUUGCUCCUUGGGUGGCGAGUGGCGGACGGGUGAGGAAUACAUCGGAAUCUACUCUGUCGUGGGGGAUAACGUAGGGAAACUUACGCUAAUACCGCAUACGACCUACGGGAGAAAGCAGGGGACCUUCGGGCCUUGCGCGAUUGAAUGAGCCGAUGUCGGAUUAGCUAGUUGGCGGGGUAAAGGCCCACCAAGGCGGCGAUCCGUAGCUGGUCUGAGAGGAUGAUCAGCCACACUGGAACUGAGACACGGGCCAGACUCCUACGGGAGGCAGCAGUGGGGAAUAUUGGACAAUGGGCGCAAGCCUGAUCCAGCCAUACCGCGUGGGUGAAGAAGGCCUUCGGGUUGUAAAGCCCUUUUGUUGGGAAAGAAAUCCAGCUGGCUAAUACCCGGUUGGGAUGACGGUACCCAAAGAAUAAGCACCGGCUAACUUCGUGCCAGCCGCCGCCGUAA
Molecule: ribosomal RNA, 506 nt
Filed under: uncultured bacterium
Lineage: Bacteria
Description: partial 16S ribosomal RNA
Rfam family: Bacterial small subunit ribosomal RNA
Source: RNAcentral